RNAcentral lists this ribosomal RNA (448 nucleotides) under uncultured bacterium. RNAcentral's name for it is "partial 16S ribosomal RNA". It matches the Rfam family "Bacterial small subunit ribosomal RNA", at positions 338 to 795 of the family's 1533-position model. The record is from RNAcentral.
CCUACGGGCGGCUGCAGUGGGGAAUCUUGCGCAAUGGACGAAAGUCUGACGCAGCGACGCCGCGUGAGUGAUGAAGGCCUUCGGGUUGUAAAGCUCUGUGGGGAGAGACGAAUAAGGUGCAGUUAAUAUCUGCAUCGAUGACGGUACCUCCUUAGCAAGCACCGGCUAACUCUGUGCCAGCAGCCGCGGUAAGACAGACGGAGCAAACGGUGUUCGGAAGCGCUGAGGCUGAAGCAUAAGUAGGCUGUCAAAGCCCCGGGCUCAACCUGGGAAGUGCAUUCGAUACUGUUUGACUGGAGUACUGGAGAGGUUGGUGGAAUUCUCGGUGUAGAGGUGAAAUUCGUAGAUAUCGGGAAGAACAUCUGUGGCGAAGGCGGCCAACUGGACAGAUACUGACGCUGAGACACGAAAGCGUGGGGAGCAAACAGGAUUAGAUACCCCGGUAGUC